Molecule: long non-coding RNA, 1713 nt
Organism: Helianthus annuus (common sunflower)
Lineage: Eukaryota; Viridiplantae; Streptophyta; Magnoliopsida; Asterales; Asteraceae
Exons: 4
Source: RefSeq, a predicted model, not a curated record
AAUAUUUCAUUUUACAUGAAUAUGUGAUUCAAAUGACAGCUCUUAUUAGUCCCUAUGCAAACCAUUUUUAUAUUUCUUUAUUUACAAGCUCUGAAUUAAAUGGUAAAAAAUACACAUUACAGUAAACAACAAUCUUCAUCAACAUUCUAUUUAUGCUAUUUAGACGAGGGCGGAAUAUAGAUGCUCGUUAUAUGACCCGCUUCACUAAUAAAGUGUAAAGUUUAAAGCCAUAUGCCCCUAUAAUAUAUCUGAUCAGUUUGAGAUAGAAAAAGUGGAAUACAAACCAAAUCGACCCAUCUUCACAUUCAUAAGUAAAUGGGUUGAAAUUGCCCUCCUUCAUUCUCACAAUGAAAUUUUGUGUACAAGAUGAUAUAAUAUGGUAUCAAGGCAACAGGCUUUUUUAUGCAAUUUUAGUUCUAUUAGUUUCACUUCAACUUGAAAUUCUUUUUUAUAUGACUAAACUGCUCUGCUGCCUAUCAAAAUAUGCAGAGUCCGUUGGUAAAAUGCUACCUUUACAUGUAGAUAGAUAGAUAUGGAGUAAGGACGAAAGCUGGUAAGAAGCAAUCAUCAGAAGAUGCUGUUGUCAAAAAAAUGCACAUUCUGCAGGAGCUUGAAUUCGACGGCACAAUGAACUUGCCUUAAAUAAGUGUAUAUUUUCAGGCAACAACACCGGAAGCUUGUAGGCUUUACGUCAUGAUUACUCUAUGAAGGUGAUUAUUAGCACUUGUUUUGUUCUGAAGCAAACAUAUCUCAUGCAUUCACAUUUUGUAAGAAUGUCAUGAUUACCUGGCUAUGCAAGAUGUUUAUGCCUGGAGAUUAGCAUAGCAGCACUCUGGAUUUUGGAAGGUUAUAUCAUUCCCCGUUGAUGCAGUGACAGAUACAUAUGGAACAUUUCUACCUGAUGGAACAGCUUUACAGCUUCAGCAGAUUCUGAGCUUAAGUGUUUUAGAGGAUUCCCGAAUCACCUCUUGCGACACAAGCAGUCCAGGUGGUGACAGCAACGGUGCCGCAUCCCAAAGCCAGUACGCCAAAGGAGAUGUUCUUACCAGAGCCUAGAAAAGACGCAAUAUCUUCAUGCAACUUUAAAUGAACUGUUCCAAUGGUAUGCAAUUGCAAUCUCAGAUAUCGCAAUCUCUCAUACCUUGUCUUAACCGGACCUUUGACUAAUCAAAAUGGUUACUUAGGCUAAAGGUUGUGGUCAUGACCCUCCACAUAGGCGUCAUGUCACCCACCUCUAAUCCACCAUCCAAAACCACUACCCUAAGGGUGUGGUCAUGACCCAAACCAUUAUCCCUCUUUAUUAUUUUAAUAUAUUUUUGUCUCAGAGUUAUCAAAUAGAGGGUGUCUCUCAUGGAGCAUAGACCGAACAAGUUACUAUAGGACUGGUUUAGUCACCAUUCGAACUGGUCUCUUUUGAUUUAAGUGCAUUUAACCGGCCGUCUCUGUUGGUUUUUACACACUAUUUUUCACCCUCUUAUAUAGUCAUAUAUAGUCAAAUUACCAAAUUACACUUUGUUUGGAGUAACAACCACUUUUUACUUUUAUAAACUCAAAAGUUCCUAUGUAAGUUCUAACAACAAAGUCGAUUAACCCAACUUAAGUAACAAUUAUCCCUACUGUAUUAUCAUAAGAUGAUAUAUCAUGAAGUGAAAUCGUGUUGAAUUUUAACAGUUUAGGUCGACAAAUAUUAUUAGUGACCGAUCAUCAAAUAUA